GGUGGCAUAGUGGUUAUGAGUUUGGCUGCUAACCAAAAGGUCUGCAGUUAGAAUCUGCCAUGCACUU
This 67-nucleotide transfer RNA is filed under the name Loxodonta africana (African savanna elephant). It matches the Rfam family "tRNA". From Rfam's summary of the family: Transfer RNA (tRNA) molecules are approximately 80 nucleotides in length. Their secondary structure includes four short double-helical elements and three loops (D, anti-codon, and T loops). The record is from Rfam by way of RNAcentral. Lineage: Eukaryota; Metazoa; Chordata; Mammalia; Proboscidea; Elephantidae.